GGACUACACGGGUAUCUAAUCCUGUUUGCUCCCCACGCUUUCGCAGAUCAGCGUCAGUAUCGGGCCAGUGAGCCGCCUUCGCCACUGGUGUUCUUGCGAAUAUCUACGAAUUUCACCUCUACACUCGCAGUUCCACUCACCUCUCCCGAACUCAAGAUCGCCAGUAUCAAAGGCAGUUCUGGAGUUGAGCUCCAGGAUUUCACCCCUGACUUAGCAAUCCGCCUACCUGCGCUUUACGCCCAGUGAUUCCGAGCAACGCUAGCCCCCUUCGUAUUACCGCGGCUGCUGGCAC
RNAcentral lists this ribosomal RNA (292 nucleotides) under uncultured bacterium. Its description in RNAcentral is "partial 16S ribosomal RNA". The record is from RNAcentral.